RNAcentral lists this ribosomal RNA (1549 nucleotides) under Klebsiella pneumoniae. Its description in RNAcentral is "bacterial SSU rRNA". It matches the Rfam family "Bacterial small subunit ribosomal RNA". Lineage: Bacteria; Pseudomonadati; Pseudomonadota; Gammaproteobacteria; Enterobacterales; Enterobacteriaceae. The record is from RNAcentral.
AAAUUGAAGAGUUUGAUCAUGGCUCAGAUUGAACGCUGGCGCAGGCCUAACACAUGCAAGUCGAGCGGUAGCACAGAGAGCUUGCUCUCGGGUGACGAGCGGCGGACGGGUGAGUAAUGUCUGGGAAACUGCCUGAUGGAGGGGGAUAACUACUGGAAACGGUAGCUAAUACCGCAUAACGUCGCAAGACCAAAGUGGGGGACCUUCGGGCCUCAUGCCAUCAGAUGUGCCCAGAUGGGAUUAGCUAGUAGGUGGGGUAACGGCUCACCUAGGCGACGAUCCCUAGCUGGUCUGAGAGGAUGACCAGCCACACUGGAACUGAGACACGGUCCAGACUCCUACGGGAGGCAGCAGUGGGGAAUAUUGCACAAUGGGCGCAAGCCUGAUGCAGCCAUGCCGCGUGUGUGAAGAAGGCCUUCGGGUUGUAAAGCACUUUCAGCGGGGAGGAAGGCGUUAAGGUUAAUAACCUUGGCGAUUGACGUUACCCGCAGAAGAAGCACCGGCUAACUCCGUGCCAGCAGCCGCGGUAAUACGGAGGGUGCAAGCGUUAAUCGGAAUUACUGGGCGUAAAGCGCACGCAGGCGGUCUGUCAAGUCGGAUGUGAAAUCCCCGGGCUCAACCUGGGAACUGCAUUCGAAACUGGCAGGCUAGAGUCUUGUAGAGGGGGGUAGAAUUCCAGGUGUAGCGGUGAAAUGCGUAGAGAUCUGGAGGAAUACCGGUGGCGAAGGCGGCCCCCUGGACAAAGACUGACGCUCAGGUGCGAAAGCGUGGGGAGCAAACAGGAUUAGAUACCCUGGUAGUCCACGCCGUAAACGAUGUCGAUUUGGAGGUUGUGCCCUUGAGGCGUGGCUUCCGGAGCUAACGCGUUAAAUCGACCGCCUGGGGAGUACGGCCGCAAGGUUAAAACUCAAAUGAAUUGACGGGGGCCCGCACAAGCGGUGGAGCAUGUGGUUUAAUUCGAUGCAACGCGAAGAACCUUACCUGGUCUUGACAUCCACAGAACUUUCCAGAGAUGGAUUGGUGCCUUCGGGAACUGUGAGACAGGUGCUGCAUGGCUGUCGUCAGCUCGUGUUGUGAAAUGUUGGGUUAAGUCCCGCAACGAGCGCAACCCUUAUCCUUUGUUGCCAGCGGUUCGGCCGGGAACUCAAAGGAGACUGCCAGUGAUAAACUGGAGGAAGGUGGGGAUGACGUCAAGUCAUCAUGGCCCUUACGACCAGGGCUACACACGUGCUACAAUGGCAUAUACAAAGAGAAGCGACCUCGCGAGAGCAAGCGGACCUCAUAAAGUAUGUCGUAGUCCGGAUUGGAGUCUGCAACUCGACUCCAUGAAGUCGGAAUCGCUAGUAAUCGUAGAUCAGAAUGCUACGGUGAAUACGUUCCCGGGCCUUGUACACACCGCCCGUCACACCAUGGGAGUGGGUUGCAAAAGAAGUAGGUAGCUUAACCUUCGGGAGGGCGCUUACCACUUUGUGAUUCAUGACUGGGGUGAAGUCGUAACAAGGUAACCGUAGGGGAACCUGCGGUUGGAUCACCUCCUUACCUUAAAGAA